Molecule: ribosomal RNA, 373 nt
Filed under: uncultured organism
Description: partial 16S ribosomal RNA
Rfam family: Bacterial small subunit ribosomal RNA
Source: RNAcentral
GUAGGUGGCAAGCGUUGUCCGGAAUUAUUGGGCGUAAAGCGCGCGCAGGCGGUUCUUUAAGUCUGAUGUGAAAGCCCACGGCUCAACCGUGGAGGGUCAUUGGAAACUGGAGAACUUGAGUACAGAAGAGGAAAGCGGAAUUCCACGUGUAGCGGUGAAAUGCGUAGAGAUGUGGAGGAACACCAGUGGCGAAGGCGGCUUUCUGGUCUGUAACUGACGCUGAGGCGCGAAAGCGUGGGGAGCAAACAGGGAUUGGAUACCCUGGUAGUCCACGCCGUAAACGAUGAGUGCUAAGUGUUAGGGGGUUUCCGCCCCCUUAGUGCUGCAGCUAACGCAUUAAGCACUCCGCCUGGGGAGUACGGCCGCAAGGCUG